UACGGAGGAUGCGAGCGUUAUCCGGAUUUAUUGGGUUUAAAGGGUGCGUAGGCGGGAUGCCAAGUCAGCGGUCAAAUACGGGGGCUCAACCCCGGCCUGCCGUUGAAACUGGCGGCCUCGAGUGGGCGAGAAGUAUGCGGAAUGCGUGGUGUAGCGGUGAAAUGCAUAGAUAUCACGCAGAACGCCGAUUGCGAAGGCAGCUUACCGGCGCUCAACUGACGCUGAGGCACGAAAGUGCGGGUAUCGAACAGG
Molecule: ribosomal RNA, 252 nt
Filed under: uncultured Bacteroidales bacterium
Lineage: Bacteria; Pseudomonadati; Bacteroidota; Bacteroidia; Bacteroidales
Description: partial 16S ribosomal RNA
Rfam family: Bacterial small subunit ribosomal RNA
Source: RNAcentral